CCUACGGGAGGCAGCAGUGGGGAAUAUUGCACAAUGGGGGAAACCCUGAUGCAGCGACGCCGCGUGAGUGAAGAAGUAUUUCGGUAUGUAAAGCUCUAGCAGCAGGGAAGAAAAUGACGGUACCUGAGUAAGAAGCCCCGGCUAACUACGUGCCAGCAGCCGCGGUAAUACGGAGGGGGCAAGCGUUAUCCGGAUUUACUGGGUGUAAAGGGAGCGUAGACGGCAGAACAAGUCUGGAGUGAAAUGCCGGGGCUUAACCCCGGAACUGCUUUGGAAACUGUGCAGCUAGAGUGCAGGAGAGGUAAGUGGCAUUCCUAGUGUAGCGGUGAAAUGCGUAGAUAUUAGGAGGAACACCAGUGGCGAAGGCGGCUUACUGGACUGUACCUGACGUUGAGGCUCGAAAGCGUGGGGAGCAAACAGGAUUAGAUACCCUAGUAGUC
This 440-nucleotide ribosomal RNA is filed under the name uncultured bacterium. RNAcentral describes it as "partial 16S ribosomal RNA". It matches the Rfam family "Bacterial small subunit ribosomal RNA", at positions 338 to 795 of the family's 1533-position model. The record is from RNAcentral.